GACGAACGCUGGCGGCGCGCCUAACACAUGCAAGUCGAACGAGAGAUGAGGAGCUUGCUCUUCAAAUCGAGUGGCGAACGGGUGAGUAACGCGUGAGGAACCUGCCUCAAAGAGGGGGACAACAGUUGGAAACGACUGCUAAUACCGCAUAAGCCCACGGCUCGGCAUCGAGCAGAGGGAAAAGGAGCAAUCCGCUUUGAGAUGGCCUCGCGUCCGAUUAGCUAGUUGGUGAGGUAAUGGCCCACCAAGGCGACGAUCGGUAGCCGGACUGAGAGGUUGAACGGCCACAUUGGGACUGAGACACGGCCCAGACUCCUACGGGAGGCAGCAGUGGGGAAUAUUGCACAAUGGGGGAAACCCUGAUGCAGCGACGCCGCGUGGAGGAAGAAGGUCUUCGGAUUGUAAACUCCUGUUGUUGAGGAAGAUAAUGACGGUACUCAACAAGGAAGUGACGGCUAACUACGUGCCAGCAGCCGCGGUAAAACGUAGGUCACAAGCGUUGUCCGGAAUUACUGGGUGUAAAGGGAGCGCAGGCGGGAGAACAAGUUGGAAGUGAAAUCCAUGGGCUCAACCCAUGAACUGCUUUCAAAACUGUUUUUCUUGAGUAGUGCAGAGGUAGGCGGAAUUCCCGGUGUAGCGGUGGAAUGCGUAGAUAUCGGGAGGAACACCAGUGGCGAAGGCGGCCUACUGGGCACCAACUGACGCUGAGGCUCGAAAGUGUGGGUAGCAAACAGGAUUAGAUACCCUGGUAGUCCACACCGUAAACGAUGAUUACUAGGUGUUGGAGGAUUGACCCCUUCAGUGCCGCAGUUAACACAAUAAGUAAUCCACCUGGGGAGUACGACCGCAAGGUUGAAACUCAAAGGAAUUGACGGGGGCCCGCACAAGCAGUGGAGUAUGUGGUUUAAUUCGACGCAACGCGAAGAACCUUACCAAGUCUUGACAUCCCUUGACGAUGCUGGAAACAGUAUUUCUCUUCGGAGCAAGGAGACAGGUGGUGCAUGGUUGUCGUCAGCUCGUGUCGUGAGAUGUUGGGUUAAGUCCCGCAACGAGCGCAACCCUUAUGGUCAGUUACUACGCAAGAGGACUCUGGCCAGACUGCCGUUGACAAAACGGAGGAAGGUGGGGAUGACGUCAAAUCAUCAUGCCCUUUAUGACUUGGGCUACACACGUACUACAAUGGCGUUAAACAAAGAGAAGCAAGACCGCGAGGUGGAGCAAAACUCAGAAACAACGUCCCAGUUCGGACUGCAGGCUGCAACUCGCCUGCACGAAGUCGGAAUUGCUAGUAAUCGUGGAUCAGCAUGCCACGGUGAAUACGUUCCCGGGCCUUGCACA
RNAcentral lists this ribosomal RNA (1338 nucleotides) under uncultured bacterium. RNAcentral's name for it is "bacterial SSU rRNA". It matches the Rfam family "Bacterial small subunit ribosomal RNA", at positions 28 to 1387 of the family's 1533-position model. The record is from RNAcentral.